Molecule: ribosomal RNA, 468 nt
Filed under: uncultured bacterium
Lineage: Bacteria
Description: partial 16S ribosomal RNA
Rfam family: Bacterial small subunit ribosomal RNA
Source: RNAcentral
GACGAACGCUGGCGGCGUGCUUAACACAUGCAAGUCGAACGGAAAGGCCCUGCUUUUGUGGGGUGCUCGAGUGGCGAACGGGUGAGUAACACGUGAGUAACCUGCCCUUGACUUUGGGAUAACUUCAGGAAACUGGGGCUAAUACCGGAUAGGAGCUCCUGCUGCAUGGUGGGGGUUGGAAAGUUUCGGCGGUUGGGGAUGGACUCGCGGCUUAUCAGCUUGUUGGUGGGGUAGUGGCUUACCAAGGCUUUGACGGGUAGCCGGCCUGAGAGGGUGACCGGCCACAAUGGGACUGAGAUACAGCCCAGACUCCUACGGGAGGCAGCAGUGGGGAAUAUUGCACAAUGGGCGGAAGCCUGAUGCAGCAACGCCGCGUGCGGGAUGACGGCCUUCGGGUUGUAAACCGCUUUCGCCUGUGACGAAGCGUGAGUGACGGUAAUGGGUAAAGAAGCACCGGCUAACUACGUG